CAGGCAGAUCAUCUCCCAUAGAAGAUGAUGAACCAUACAAACUCCUCCUUUCAGCUGCGCGAUCCCUGUAGGUAGGCUGAGAUUGCUCCUUCUGAGCAGAAGCAGAAGAAAGUGGCAUCUCAGAAAACCUCCUCUUGCCACUCCCAGUAGAUGCAGGUGGUGCGUAAGAACCCAAUGCUGAUGCAUCUGUUCUGAAGGGAGUUGCAAUUGCAGAUGUAUCUGCAUUUGUUGAUGAACCAGUAACAGGAGCGGAGAUAGAAACUAUAGUGGAUAAUCCUGAAUAUGAAGCAUCUGAUUUCGCAACACCUCGACCAGAGCCCCUUAUGACCCCCAUUAGAGUCCCCCCCGAGCUAUUACUUACAGGUCUUGGCUUGAGUGGAGACUCCAAACCAGAAUGGGCAACUGUGGUGCUUGUUAUAAUUCCAGAAGUGGACACAGCACUAUCCUUUGCAGUCAUCACAUCAGAUUUGAACUUGCUCUUUAUGGAUUGUCCAACAGAAAAAGACCUAUCAUCAGCUGAACCAGAUGGUUGAUUGUCAUCAACAGUAACACGAGUUGCUUGCCCUUCAUGACUCCUCUGCUUCCACAUUGUCAACACAUUGUUCAUUUUCUUCUUGCUAGCCAAAAGACUGCUUUUUGAAGCAAGCUUUAUCUCUUUAGACUUC
RNAcentral lists this unclassified non-coding RNA (665 nucleotides) under Hevea brasiliensis (rubber tree). Lineage: Eukaryota; Viridiplantae; Streptophyta; Magnoliopsida; Malpighiales; Euphorbiaceae. The record is from RNAcentral.